Molecule: ribosomal RNA, 510 nt
Filed under: uncultured bacterium
Lineage: Bacteria
Description: bacterial SSU rRNA
Rfam family: Bacterial small subunit ribosomal RNA
Source: RNAcentral
AACGAACGCUGGCGGCGUGCUUAACACAUGCAAGUCGAACGCGAAAGGGACUUCGGUCCUGAGUAAAGUGGCGCACGGGUGAGUAACGCGUAGAUAACCUGUCUUCAUGCCUGGAAUAAUACGCCGAAAGGGGUACUAAUACCGGAUAUUCUUGCUUUUCAUAAGUUAUGCAAGCAAAGGUGGCCUCUGCAUAUGCUACUGCAUGAAGAGGGGUCUGCGUACCAUUAGCUAGUAGGUGGGGUAAUGGCCUACCUAGGCGACGAUGGUUAGCGGGUCUGAGAGGAUGAUCCGCCACACUGGCACUGGAACACGGGCCAGACUCCUACGGGAGGCAGCAGUGAGGAAUAUUGCGCAAUGGGGGAAACCCUGACGCAGCGACGCCGCGUGAGUGAGGAAGGCCUUCGGGUCGUAAAGCUCUGUCAAGAGGAAAGAAGUGUACAAUGGCUAAUACCUGUUGUAUUUGACGGUACCUCUAAAGGAAGCACCGGCUAACUCCGUGCCAGCCGCCGC